This is a long non-coding RNA of Oncorhynchus gorbuscha (pink salmon), 516 nucleotides long. RefSeq lists it as uncharacterized. The record is from RefSeq and is a predicted model, not a curated record. The transcript has 3 exons. Lineage: Eukaryota; Metazoa; Chordata; Actinopteri; Salmoniformes; Salmonidae.
CAGGGUAUGCUCAAAAUGACAGCGCUGAAGCGGCAAAGACUUUUCACUGUGCAUGAAGCUGUAUCUAUGUUGGAUGGUGAUGAAAGCGAUGAUGAUGUCGAGGUGAGUGAAGAUGAGGCCGUUCUUGAAGAAGUUUCAUGGCAUGUUGGAGGCUUAAUGCAAACACUCAAGUGACCGUGUGACAUUUGUCCUACAUAUCGUAUAGGCAUUCCCUACCUUUCCUGUGGAGCUGCAGGGACCCCAGCAGACAGACAGACUUGAGCAUCUCCGUGAUGUACAUCUCCAGACAGCAUUGCAGCUGGAUGAAGAGCCUGCAGAUCUCUGGGUGGAUCUCUCCGUCCUCAGGCCUGUGGGACCAACACACAAAUGGCAAUCAAUAUCGAGAUUACCCAUGAGAUAAGAUGUUUACAAAUGAAUAAAAACAUGAAAAAAUGAAAUGUCUUAAGUCAAUAAGUAUUCAACCCUUUUGUUAUGGCAAGUCUACAUAGGAGUAAAAAUUUGCUUAACAAGUUGCAU